Monodelphis domestica (gray short-tailed opossum) is the source of this 2083-nucleotide non-coding RNA. Lineage: Eukaryota; Metazoa; Chordata; Mammalia; Didelphimorphia; Didelphidae. The record is from RefSeq and is a predicted model, not a curated record.
ACAGAUACUGGUGGUGAGAGGUGAAUAGGGCCCCUGAACUGAAAGGUUGUGAUUUAGCAAAAAACAAACAAACUGCAGUUCUUAUCUAUUUCUUCAAGAUAUUUAUGUGAUCUCUGCCUAGGUCUAUAUUUACAGUUAUUAGCCGGAUCUGUGCAGUCAUCCCAGAGAAGAGUAAUAUUCAUUUCUUUCUCAGAGAGCAUACAAAUAAUCAGUUUGACAGUUUUCGAACAAAAAAUAUUUCUCAUUGAAUUUUUAUGAUGAUGAUGUUUCCACAGAUGUGUGCAGACUGGACACCACUGACAGAUACUGAAUUUUAAAGAGGACAUAAGGCAUUAUGAAAAGGAAUAUUGAUCAUCACUGAAGACUAUAUCUAAACUGUAAGUUAAGUUACUCUGUUUCAAGUAAACAACAAGCAUUUUUAAAAGCAUUUACUAUGUUCUGGGCACUAUGCUAAAUACUGAGAAAUCAUAGAAAGGCAAAAAAGCUCUUGUCCUCAAGGAUUUUGCAAUCUAACAAAGGAGACAAUAUACAAACUACUAUGUACCAAAAAGACAGAAUGGGAGAAAAGUCCUAAAUUGAGAGUCAGAAGACUCAGGUUCCCAUUUGAGGUUUGUCAUUAAUCAGUAUGUAGACUGUAUUGCAGGUGUUCAAUAUAAUACUUAACUGAUUAAUGGUAAAUAAUGCAUUUCUCUAAUCUUCACUUUCAUUGCUAUAACAGAACUAAACUAGAAACCCACGGAGUAAUGUCCUCUUGAUGUGGGACCCUAGGUUUACCUUGUACCACAAAUUUUCUAAGUUUUUUGGGUCAAACUAUAAGCAAGAAAAUUCCUUUGGUUCCUUGCAUUCAUUUUAAGGCUAAAGAGAGGGUAACCCUGAAACUUCAAAGGCUAAUGAUAAGAAAGACCCUUGAGAGAAUUAUCUUCCUAGAUCCCUCCUAGGUUCUCCUCUAGGUUUUGAGAUGGGCACAGAGAUAUACCUCCAGGCUGUGCUUUGAUACUAUUGGGUUGUACCUAAGACAUCUAUUUGUCCUAUAAAAUAUGAGGGUCACCCCCUAUGUCUUCAGGGCAUAAAAUACAGCUCUGGCCCCCAUCAGACAACCAACCUCCCCCCUACUUGUGCACAAGUUCAUACCCUCAAAUCAUCUAUCACCUGUUGUAAAAGAGUUGAUCCCUUCAAGGAGGUGGCUUGCCAUCAGUGCUGUUCUACAAGCCAAACUCAAACAUGAAUUGCAAAUUUUUAUUUCUAAGUUAAGUUAUAGAAUCUUGCAUUUUUUGCAAAGGGAACCCAUUGCCUCAAGACCUCCAUAAUAUUCUCAUAUUCUAUGUGUGAUAAUGGAGGAUCCAGACAUAUCUCUUUGCUUGCUGUGAAACAAACAGGCAAAUCUUACCUGUACUUCUACUUCCAGAAGUUUAGCAAUCAAGGACAAUAUGUUUAAAUAUCACAUAUAUGAUGAAAAGCACUACAGAAAAUAUAGGGCAUAACAUAAAUAUGACAGCUUUGAAGUCUGUCUUGUAGAAGAUGGGUUAGCCUCAUUCUGCUUGGCCCCAGAGGGCUGAAUUAAGAACAAUGGGUAGAAGGUGUCAAAAAGACGAAAAACUUCCUAAAAUCUAGAACUGCUGAAUAGUAGAAUGAGCUGCCUUAGGAUGUACUGAGCUCCUGUUGCAUAGAAGUCUUCAAGGGCAGGUUGGAUGAUUGCUUUCUGAUCAUAUUGUAGAUGGGUCUAGUUUAGGUAGGGGUCAGAGUUCCAUGGCCCAAAAGGUCCCUUACUGUGAUAAGCACCCUGAUUUCUUGUGAAAUGUGACAUAUGAGUAAUUCACUUGAUAUCUGGUUGGACUACAUGGCUUCUGAUGCUCCUUUCAACUCUGAGAUUUUGUGAAGACAUUCCACAAAGCAUAAGUGUAGUAUAAUGGACCCCUGACACUGAAGAGACCAUUCAAGUUUUAUUAAGAAUCCAAUCAUAUACAUAUAAAAUUUUUCUCUAACAACUAAAAGGAACAUUACUGGAUAUUGACCAAUCAUAUUCUUAAGUAUUACAUCAUUCUUAGCAGUGAAACUUUCUCACAGAAAAUUUAAAAAUUAAAAA